GCCUGGCUAGCUCAGUCGGUAGAGCAUGAGACUCUUAAUGUCAGGGUCGUGGGUUCGAGCCCCACGUUGGGAA
RNAcentral lists this transfer RNA (73 nucleotides) under Danio rerio (zebrafish). It matches the Rfam family "tRNA". From Rfam's summary of the family: Transfer RNA (tRNA) molecules are approximately 80 nucleotides in length. Their secondary structure includes four short double-helical elements and three loops (D, anti-codon, and T loops). Further hydrogen bonds mediate the characteristic L-shaped molecular structure. tRNAs have two regions of fundamental functional importance: the anti-codon, which is responsible for specific mRNA codon recognition, and the 3' end, to which the tRNAs corresponding amino acid is attached (by aminoacyl-tRNA synthetases). tRNAs cope with the degeneracy of the genetic code in two manners: having more than one tRNA (with a specific anti-codon) for a particular amino acid; and 'wobble' base-pairing, i.e. permitting non-standard base-pairing at the 3rd anti-codon position. Lineage: Eukaryota; Metazoa; Chordata; Actinopteri; Cypriniformes; Danionidae. The record is from Rfam by way of RNAcentral.